AUUGAACGCUGGCGGCAGGCCUAACACAUGCAAGUCGAACGGCAGCACAGAAGAGCUUGCUCUUUGGGUGGCGAGUGGCGGACGGGUGAGUAAUGUCUGGGAAACUGCCCGAUGGAGGGGGAUAACUACUGGAAACGGUAGCUAACACCGCAUAACGUCGCGAGACCAAAGUGGGGGACCCCCGGGCCUCACACCAUCGGAUGUGCCCAGAUGGGAUUAGCUAGUAGGUGGGGUAAUGGCUAACCUGGGCGACAAUCCCUAGCUGGUAUGAGAGGAUGACCAGCCACACUGGAACUGAGACACGGUCCAGACUCCUACGGGAGGCAUCAGUGGGGAAUAUUGCGCAAUGGGCGCAAGCCUGAUGCAGCCAUGCCGCGUGUAUGAAGAAGGCCUUCGGGUUGUAAAGUACUUUCAGCGGGGAGGAAGGCGGUGAGGUUAAUAACCUUGCCGAUUGACGUUACCCGCAGAAGAAGCACCGGCUAACUCCGUGCCAGCAGCCGCGGUAA
This 506-nucleotide ribosomal RNA is filed under the name uncultured bacterium. Its description in RNAcentral is "partial 16S ribosomal RNA". It matches the Rfam family "Bacterial small subunit ribosomal RNA", at positions 29 to 523 of the family's 1533-position model. The record is from RNAcentral.